This 66-nucleotide transfer RNA is filed under the name Triaenodes qinglingensis. Its description in RNAcentral is "tRNA-Asp". Lineage: Eukaryota; Metazoa; Arthropoda; Insecta; Trichoptera; Leptoceridae. The record is from RNAcentral.
AAAGAAUUAGUUAAAGUAUAACAUAAAUUUGUCUAAUUUAAAUUAUUAAAAUAGUAAUAUUCUUUU